This 521-nucleotide ribosomal RNA is filed under the name uncultured Pseudomonadota bacterium. Its description in RNAcentral is "bacterial SSU rRNA". It matches the Rfam family "Bacterial small subunit ribosomal RNA", at positions 8 to 522 of the family's 1533-position model. Lineage: Bacteria; Pseudomonadati; Pseudomonadota. The record is from RNAcentral.
AGAGUUUGAUCAUGGCUCAGAGUGAACGCUGGCGGCAUGCCUAACACAUGCAAGUCGAACGGUAACAGGCCCGCAAGGGUGCUGACGAGUGGCGGACGGGUGAGGAAUACAUCGGAAUCUGCCCGGUUGUGGGGGAUAACGUAGGGAAACUUACGCUAAUACCGCAUACGACCGAAAGGUGAAAGCGUGGGAUCCGCAAGGACCUCGCGCAGCCGGAUGAGCCGAUGUCGGAUUAGCUAGUUGGCGGGGUAAAGGCCCACCAAGGCGACGAUCCGUAGCUGGUCUGAGAGGAUGAUCAGCCACACUGGGACUGAGACACGGCCCAGACUCCUACGGGAGGCAGCAGUGGGGAAUAUUGGACAAUGGGGGCAACCCUGAUCCAGCAAUGCCGCGUGUGUGAAGAAGGCCUUCGGGUUGUAAAGCACUUUUAUCCGGAACGAAACGUGUCAGGCGAAUAGCUUGGCAAACUGACGGUACCGGAGGAAUAAGCACCGGCUAACUUCGUGCCAGCAGCCGCGGUA